AACGAACGCUGGCGGCAGGCUUAACACAUGCAAGUCGAACGGUUGUAGCAAUACAGCAGUGGCAGACGGGUGAGUAACACGUGGGAACCUUCCUAGGGGUACGGAACAACUCAGGGAAACUUGAGCUAAUACCGUAUACGUCCGUGAGGAGAAAGAUUUAUCGCCCUUAGACGGGCCCGCGUAGGAUUAGGUAGUUGGUGGGGUAAUGGCCUACCAAGCCUACGAUCCUUAGCUGAUCUGAGAGGAUGAUCAGCCACACUGGGACUGAGUCACGGCCCAGACUCCUACGGGAGGCAGCAAGUGGGGAAUCUUGGACAAUGGGCGCAAGCCUGAUCCAGCCAU
RNAcentral lists this ribosomal RNA (342 nucleotides) under uncultured bacterium. RNAcentral describes it as "bacterial SSU rRNA". It matches the Rfam family "Bacterial small subunit ribosomal RNA", at positions 29 to 395 of the family's 1533-position model. The record is from RNAcentral.